Molecule: long non-coding RNA, 230 nt
Filed under: Nicotiana benthamiana
Lineage: Eukaryota; Viridiplantae; Streptophyta; Magnoliopsida; Solanales; Solanaceae
Description: long non-coding RNA (NBEN_LNC018309)
Source: RNAcentral
UUGAAUCUCAAAAAUGCAAAAUUCAACAGUAUUCGAAAUCAACAUUGUUCGAAAUUUCAACAAAACAAUAGCGAAAUCAAACCUCUAGAUCUCUAGAUCUCCAAACCUAGAUUACAAUUUUCAGCAAAUAUUCAGAAGUUUAGCUCCGAAAUCAAAAUCAAACGAACAACGAAAUCAAAAUCUGAAGAGAACAACAAAAUUAAAAUCUGAAUCAACAUCUUCAAUCUGUU